ACUAAAAUGACAGAUAAUAUGUACAAAAUUUAAGCUUUUGAAAAUGAAGAAUUUUCUUCUUUUAGUA
RNAcentral lists this transfer RNA (67 nucleotides) under Gastroptychus rogeri. RNAcentral's name for it is "tRNA-Leu". The record is from RNAcentral. Lineage: Eukaryota; Metazoa; Arthropoda; Malacostraca; Decapoda; Chirostylidae.